GUGAUGCCUGUUGGCAGCAGCAAACAGCCCGACCCCCGUGGGAUUCAGCCAAGAGCUGAACCAGAAAAACCAGCGAGCAGAGGUGACGUUUUCUGGAAGCCUUUGCUGGGACCCGGGGCAUGGACUAGAGAGCUCGUCACGGGUCAGCAAAUGGGAAUUCUUGCGAGCGCGUCUCUGCUUUUGAACUUCAUCCAGGGUUUGCAGCACUUAACGGCGGGAGGAGAGUAUUGCAGCAGAAGAGCAGAGCCGUGAUGCAGCAUCGGCAACGUGGUGCUGUGAUCAGCAAACGGCUCGUGUCGGAGUUUCCAUCGCAGGGAGCUGGGAAACACAGGCAGCAAAGAUCUCUGCCAUCCCUAAAAGAGGAAAACAGUCCCAGGGCUGAGUGUCCCACCAUUCUCACUGCAAACCGCAGCAGCACUUUCUGUCUCGGCUGUUCAUAGUGGUAAUGUCACCCCGGGGAAAGUUGUUUUUCGCUUAAAAGCCUUGACGAUGACACUUUGCAGGGAGUUAUUUGGCUUGUACGUUUGUGUUUCCACCUCCCUACCCAAAUCUCGCCCCAACAGCCCCCAAACUUGCUGCUUGUCAGGUCUUGUUCUACCUAAACCCUUUAAUGCCACAUCCCAUCACUGGGCUAUUGCGGGAUCACACUCGUACGUACGAGCCCCGAGUCUAAUUAAUGUAAUAAAGUGUGCCAAAGAAUUAAAUCUCAGACGUGGCAAUGUGAUCACUUCUCUGUACUGUCACAGCACAAGUAACGCAGACAGUAAAGGAUAAAACACAUCUCUGGCAUUUUUUAUUGCUUCUAAUACGCCGCCUUUUUUUGUUACUGGAAAUUUAAAUUAUAACGGUAUGCUUCACUUAAAAAAAACAGAAAGUAUCCAUAGCAACAGGAACAUCUAAAUUAUCGCAGGCUGAUCACUCCUCCCGCAGUCACAUCACUUGCCUUUCAAAGACAGUCCCAGAGGUGCGGGAUUUUAAUAGACAUUUUGUUUUCCUGCCUUUUUUGCAAAUAAACAACUGUAUACACAGCACUUUCUCCAUCAAUACGCUGCCUACGGAAAGAUCUAAUAACUGCCUGAGCGCUUCGUUACCCAGAGACGGAGGGCAUGGGGUUUGCUUGUGCAAUUCUUGUUUCAUCCGAGUCGGUGCCUCCUGGUUAUCCCGGGAAACCGGAGAAUUGGGUUCAGCUGGUGAAACGACGUCGGCAGCCGCUCGGCCUUUAAAAGGUGGGAAAACACCCUGAUAUUUCUCAGCUGCCAUCCCCACGUCUGGGCCUCCCUGGUGCCGUCUGACCAGAGCAGUUACAGCUUUUCCUUCAUCUUCCUCAUGAAAAGCCCCAUCGCUGCGGAGCUGUCAAAUGUAAGAAACAAACACGCUGCAAGAAAUAGAGAUUUGUUGUUUUAUUUCUUCAGGCUCGAUUAUGGGAAUCCUGCGUGCCAUCUGGAUCAAUAGCGGGUCAAAACUGCUCAGGCAGGAAGGUAUUCUAUAUAAAAAAGCAGCAGCCCAUGGCCUUCCUCUAAGCUCAUGUAUAAAGUUAUGGUAGUAAACCCUGUUUCCAGGCUUGGAAAACUCAGGUUAAGAACAAAGGUUUAAUAAAUGUAUGUAGGAAUAAGAUCUUAAACCAAAACUUGAUGUAUCUGGGAUCUUAUUGUAUUCCAUAACAGCAGAGAUUUGCUUUCUUUAUGUUGUUUUUCAUGUCGUUUCCCGCUGCCGUGUGUCACAUUCCCGGGUCAUCGUUCCCUGCGCUUUCCCCAGAGGUGGUUCAAGGAUGUAUUUGCAGAGCAGAACAUGUAAAUUACAGUGGAACGAGGCAAUCUUUUAAACCACAAAAUAUUCCUCGUGGCUUAACCUCUGCAGAAUAAGAGCUGACGUGCAGACGGGCGGCUGCGGUUCACCAAAUGCAGCCCAGAGCUGGAGAGUUAACCGAGAAAAUGGGUCGGGGUUGUGUGGCAGGUUUGAUGUGUUUGCAAGGAAGGGUCGGGGAAGCUCUGUGUUGUGAAAAAAGGGGUGAGAACUCAUGGGUUUUGGGUGCGGUUGUGAUGCUGGGACAGGAACCAGGUGUAUCGUCUGUCGGGGACUUUCAGAUCAACCGGGUUUCGUGUGUUUAGCUAAGAAAAGUCAGAGCGAGAGGAGGUGGUGGUUACAGAGGGCUGAGAAUGAUGCAAAAGAAUCUGUUGGACCUGCAGAUCCGGCUCAUAUUUGAAAAUCACCCUCUUACGGCUCCCGCGAAAUCACCUUUUAAUAACGAGUCUAUAGCAGGAACCUGUAAUUUUGUGGUUGAUGCGUGAGCAAGAUGACAACCGAGUGCGCUCUCACAUGGUUUUAUUGAAGCCAUGGGUCAGAAAUAUUUGCUUUAUGUUGAGAACAUGAGGCCAAACAGAAAUCCCAGCGCUGACGCCAGGCAGGGACUCACCAGCUCCAGCAGGGUUCCCUGAGCCACCGACGGAGCUUUUGAUGCACAGCUGCCCUGAACCCACCUUCGUACCUCUCGGAGUAAUUAAAUAAGUCCCAGGAGCCACAGCCCCAGAGGUUUACAUUCCGCUUACCCUGGGAAGGGGCCUCCCCUGCCAGGCACCCGGAUCCGUGCAGAACACGAGGCGUUUAUCCCGAUCAAUAACCCGGCAGCUCCAGGUCACUGCAGAAGAGGCCGGUAACACCCAAGCGGUGCCAAUAAAAUAUUCCGGAACCUGCGUAUUCAUCUUCAUAUAAUCGCCCAAAGGUCGUCUUCUGACCUACUUUACCCUCCGCUAAGUUACUGUACAGUUGACAGAUGAUUUUAACAGAGUCUUAGUGGUCACCUGAGGAUGCCCAAUACGUAGCGCUAUAAGCUGGGAUUUUCAUUGCCGCACACGGUUUAAAUGACUUUUAACUCUUUGCAAGUGCUGCGUUUUCCCUGUAAUGGGAAUAUUUACGUGAUCCCACUCAAAUGCCCUAAGGCAUCUUUAUUUCUCUUGGCCGGGUUCAUAAAGGCCGAGUUCAAAAGCCUUAAAGUUUAAGGGAAAUGAGCUCAGCACGACGGGACAGAGGAAAAUAAGACGGAUGUGUUGGCAUUGGGAAGGUGCUUGUUCGGUAACAGCACUGGCUUCUCAUUUAUCAUGUGCAGGGUGGUCUCUGCAGUGGAUUUGGGGUCUCUCUGCAUCACUUUAGCAGAAUAAUUGAGUUGGAUCCAAGGAGUUGAUCAGGGUUUCCUAGGCGGUGUCAGAGAGAGUCCCGUCUAAGGGCAGGAACGUUGGACAGUAACUUAGACAAAUGGCCAGAGGGUUCCACCGCUCACUUGCCAUUAAGUCUAAUAACUCCAGUUAAUAAUCUGACCCAACGGCUUCUUAUUCUCUUAUCUCUUGCUGACAAAAAUCAAAACUGCUUGUCCUAUAACAGCUAUUUCGAUAAAUCUCUUUGCAACCUCCAUAAA
Long non-coding RNA from Columba livia (rock pigeon), 3409 nucleotides. RefSeq lists it as uncharacterized. The record is from RefSeq and is a predicted model, not a curated record. The transcript has 4 exons. NCBI's taxonomy places the organism in Eukaryota, Metazoa, Chordata, Aves, Columbiformes, Columbidae.